Molecule: non-coding RNA, 99 nt
Organism: Saitozyma podzolica
Lineage: Eukaryota; Fungi; Basidiomycota; Tremellomycetes; Tremellales; Trimorphomycetaceae
Source: the annotation of a GenBank genome assembly
GCGAUACUGGCCGAGUGGUUAAGGCGUUGGAUUUAAGGGACUUCCCUUUUGUUUCCCAAUGGGUUUCAUCCCGCACGAGUUCGAUCCUCGUGUAUCGCA